This 460-nucleotide ribosomal RNA is filed under the name uncultured bacterium. RNAcentral describes it as "partial 16S ribosomal RNA". It matches the Rfam family "Bacterial small subunit ribosomal RNA", at positions 338 to 795 of the family's 1533-position model. The record is from RNAcentral.
CCUACGGGUGGCAGCAGUGAGGAAUAUUGGUCAAUGUUCUUACUCCUUAACCAUCCAAUUCUCUUUAUUUCAUAAUUCCCUACUUUUCUUAACCCUCUUUUUCCGUUUAUCACGGGCGGGGACGUGUCCCGGCCCGGAGAGUACCCGGAGAAAAAGCAUCGGCUAACUCCGUGCCAGCAGCCGCGGUAAUACGGGGGAUGCGAGCGUUAUUCGGAUUUAUUGGGUUUAAAGGGUGCGUAGGCGGGCUUUUAAGUCAGCGGUAAAAAUUCGGGGCUCAACCCCGUCCGGCCGUUGAAACUGGGGGCCUUGAGUGAGCGAGAAGAAUGCGGAAUGCGUGGUGUAGCGGUGAAAUGCAUAGAUAUCACGCAGAACCCCGAUUGCGAAGGCAGCCUUCCGGCGCCCUACUGACGCUGAGGCACGAAAGUGCGGGGAUCGAACAGGAUUAGAUACCCUUGUAGUC